Molecule: long non-coding RNA, 1419 nt
Filed under: Apteryx rowi (Okarito brown kiwi)
Lineage: Eukaryota; Metazoa; Chordata; Aves; Apterygiformes; Apterygidae
Description: lncRNA (ENSARWG00000013485.1)
Source: RNAcentral
CCUAGCUGAUAAAGGUGAAGAAAGAACUAUUUGUGCUAGACCCAGAGAUGGAGGUGUGCCUUCCUUGGUAUUUUAAUCCAACUCCUCUUCACAUGCCAUUUACUCUGGAGUUCCUCACUACAUAUAAACUUCUGUAAUAUUUACUUCCAGCAGGUAAAUAAAUUUGCCUCCCGUUUUGAUAAGGCACAAUGCCACUAUUCAGACUUGCCAAAUUCGUAAUGAACUUGGAAGAGGAACAGCAGAAUCUGUGCGAACACAACAGGACUCAUAAAAGAAACCUUUCUGAGAGGCUGUUAUUCUCCGACUCUGGUGUUAGAGACGCACUUGGAGCCAGAUGAAAGCACUGAAGGAAGACUAGCAUUGUGCUUACCACAAAAUUGGCAUAAUGGAACGGCAAUUCUCUGUUCCAUUAGAUAAAACCUGCCCAUUCUGCUUCUUGCUAUUGCCCUUGAACACUGUAACUGCUUUUUUUGGCAUGCUUAAAAGUGCGCUGCGAGCUGUGGGGCAAGAAGAGCCUGCAGAGCAGGGAUCCGUCUGGACGUGAGAGGAGAUGGACAAAAAGAGAGCGUGUGAGAUCCAGCAAGUAGGGAAACCACAGGAAGAGCAGAGGUUGCAGGACUUCAAAUCUCUGAACGUUUUGGUCUGAGAAAUGGCAAGAAGAAACCUUUCCUAGGGAUGCACAGGGUUUGUCUAGGAUUUGAUAAAACCUAGAUAGUCACUAAAAAGCUUCUGGGCUGAAGGAACCUGCAAACCUGAUGGGAAGAACAUUUCCUAUGAGAUCGCUGGGAGUAGUGAGUAAAUUUUCUUUGCGGAGCCCUUUUGUUUCUGUUCCCACUCACACUGUUUUCUCUGUCCUGUAAAGUUCACUCCUUUAGUUUCUGCUCAUGAACUCUAGCUUUUGAGAGCUGUCAUAUGAUACUUCUUUAAUGAAAGGGCACAAGCAGCCUCAUCUUACAGAUCCGACCAACUUGAGAGUCUUGCCACAGCAAGACAAAGGGGAUUUUUUGUUGUUUGCCUUUUUUUUUUUUUUCCUUCUAAGGGAUAGCCUCAUAAAUUAAGUGUGUCAGAGCAAAUAAUUCUCCAGGAUGCCUUGCCAUUAUUUAGAGCAAUCCUACAGUACGUUAGAACAGUAGGAUCAGAGCAAUGCUAAAACCGAAAAAAGGUGCUUUCACCUGAAAGAACAAAUUAUAUGCAAGAAGCGCUCUGGGGGAUCCAGCUCUGAGCCUGGUAUCGGCAGUAAGGAGUGUUCAUGAAGAUGCUUUUUUUUUUUUUCUUCUCUAAGUGCUUAAAAACAUUCACAUUUUCAUUGAAAUGGCAUGAUAUGUAUGUUUGCUGAGACUUUGUCUGUGGCAUGAAUGAGGGAUAUGCAGGAGAAACUUGUCUUGCCUGGCUGGAAUAAAGUUUAGGAAUAAUGUACCA